GUCCUAGCCGUAAACGAUGGUCACUAGGUGUAGGGGGUUAUCAACUCCCCCUGUGCCGAAGCUAACGCAUUAAGUGACCCGCCUGGGGAGUACGGCCGCAAGGCUAAAACUCAAAGGAAUUGACGGGGGCCCGCACAAGCGGCGGAGCAUGUGGCUUAAUUCGACGCAACGCGAAGAACCUUACCGGGGCUUGACAUAUAGGUGAAAGCUAUGGAAACAUGGCCCCCCUUUAUGGGCGCCUAUACAGGUGGUGCAUGGUUGUCGU
This 265-nucleotide ribosomal RNA is filed under the name uncultured bacterium. RNAcentral describes it as "partial 16S ribosomal RNA". It matches the Rfam family "Bacterial small subunit ribosomal RNA", at positions 793 to 1055 of the family's 1533-position model. The record is from RNAcentral.